Molecule: transfer RNA, 468 nt
Filed under: Vibrio nigripulchritudo
Lineage: Bacteria; Pseudomonadati; Pseudomonadota; Gammaproteobacteria; Vibrionales; Vibrionaceae
Rfam family: tRNA (bases 77-149)
Source: RNAcentral
UGCGAUGAGUGUUCACACAGAUUGGUACGGUUUAUAACGUAAGAGAGCAGAGUGUUCCCAAACACUCACAACUAGUGUCCCGUUCGUCUAGAGGCCUAGGACACCGCCCUUUCACGGCGGUAACAGGGGUUCGACUCCCCUACGGGAUACCAUCUUUAAGCGCAUUUCUUUGAAACAGAAAGUCUUAAGUGCCUUUAAAAAUGGUUACUUCCUUACGAAGUGAUUCGCUCUUUAACAAUUUGGAAAGCUGACGAAUAACAACAAUCCCCUUAUCUACGGAUAAGCGUUGUUAUUCAAUUAAAAGUUCUCAAAUCCUAAAACUGUGUUUUAGGUACCAACACACAUUCAAGUGUUCUUGGAAACAUCCUUGUGAUGUUUAUAUUUGAGUCCGGCAAAAUCGAAUGUCUCUCGCUCAUUCAAUAAUGAGAGACAAAACCUUGGUUGUUUGAACAUACAAGACCUCUUGGG